UUUAUGGAGAGUUUGAUCCUGGCUCAGGAUGAACGCUGGCGGCGUGCCUAAUACAUGCAAGUCGAGCGAACGGACGAGAAGCUUGCUUCUCUGAUGUUAGCGGCGGACGGGUGAGUAACACGUGGAUAACCUACCUAUAAGACUGGGAUAACUUCGGGAAACCGGAGCUAAUACCGGAUGAUAUUUUGAACCGCAUGGUUCAAAAGUGAAAGACGGUCUUGCUGUCACUUAUAGAUGGAUCCGCGCUGCAUUAGCUAGUUGGUAAGGUAACGGCUUACCAAGGCAACGAUGCAUAGCCGACCUGAGAGGGUGA
RNAcentral lists this ribosomal RNA (313 nucleotides) under Staphylococcus aureus. Its description in RNAcentral is "bacterial SSU rRNA". It matches the Rfam family "Bacterial small subunit ribosomal RNA", at positions 1 to 303 of the family's 1533-position model. The record is from RNAcentral. Lineage: Bacteria; Bacillati; Bacillota; Bacilli; Caryophanales; Staphylococcaceae.